AUAUUUUUGUUAAUAAUUAUCCCUACAAAAUAGCAUUACACUUUUUUUUCAGAACAAAAUUUUUUCCAGCUACAAAGACAACAAAAUACAAAAUAUAUAUUGUUAUUGUUUGGUUUAGAUUGCUUGAUGAGAAUGUUUGGUUCCACAUCCCUUGUUCUGCAUCUAUCUCAGUUGUAAAUACCCCUGUCAUUCAUUCAUUAAUCAAUUGGGACAAUAAUAAUAAUAAUAAUUGAAACCAUAUAAAAAAAAUCAUAAUAGUUGCGUAAGAUGAAUGAAAAAGAAAACAUAAAAGUAAAACAAACAUGGAGAAUAUGAUGGAAGUACAUGUAUCUUCAAAAACUUCUUUACUCGUGUUUUAUACACAACUACCAACUAACAUGAGAAAAAUUUGUUCCUUUGAGUUGUGAUAAAUAAAGAUGUGGGCAGCAGAGAUUAUAAAUCUGAGAAAAUAGAGAAN
RNAcentral lists this long non-coding RNA (457 nucleotides) under Trifolium pratense (red clover). Its description in RNAcentral is "long non-coding RNA (TPRA_LNC004927)". Lineage: Eukaryota; Viridiplantae; Streptophyta; Magnoliopsida; Fabales; Fabaceae. The record is from RNAcentral.